UACGUAGGGGGCAAGCGUUGUCCGGAAUCAUUGGGCGUAAAGAGCGUGUAGGCGGCCCGAUAAGUCCGCUGUGAAAGUCCAGGGCUCAACCCUGGGAUGCCGGUGGAUACUGUCGGGCUCGAGUCCGGAAGAGGAGUGUGGAAUUCCUGGUGUAGCGGUGAAAUGCGCAGAUAUCAGGAAGAACACCAAUGGCGAAAGCAGCUUUCUGGGACGGUACUGACGCUGAGACGCGAAAGCGUGGGGAGCGAACAGG
RNAcentral lists this ribosomal RNA (253 nucleotides) under uncultured bacterium. RNAcentral describes it as "partial 16S ribosomal RNA". It matches the Rfam family "Bacterial small subunit ribosomal RNA", at positions 524 to 776 of the family's 1533-position model. The record is from RNAcentral.